RNAcentral lists this ribosomal RNA (459 nucleotides) under uncultured bacterium. RNAcentral's name for it is "bacterial SSU rRNA". It matches the Rfam family "Bacterial small subunit ribosomal RNA", at positions 340 to 786 of the family's 1533-position model. The record is from RNAcentral.
UACGGAAGGCAGCAGUGGGGAAUAUUGCACAAUGGGCGAAAGCCUGAUGCAGCUAUGCCGCGUGUAUGAAGAAGGCCUUAGGGUUGUAAAGUACUUUCAUCGGGGAGGAAAAAACAAAACUAAUAAUUUUAUUUCUUGACGUUACCCGAAAAAGAAGCACCGGCUAACUCCGUGCCAGCAGCCGCGGUAAUACGGAGGGUGCUAGCGUUAAUCAGAAUUACUGGGCGUAAAGAGCACGUAGGUGGUUUUUUUAAAGUCAGAUGUGAAAUCCCUGGGCUUAAACCUAGGAACUGCAUUUUGAAACUGAAAUACUAGAGUAUCGUAGAGGGAGGUAGAAUUCUAGGUGUAGCGGUGAAAUGCGUAGAUAUCUGGAGGAAUACCUGUGGCGAAAGCGGCCUCCUAAACGAAUACUGACACUGAGGUGCGAAAGCGUGGGGAGCAAAACAGGGAUUAGAUACC